This 467-nucleotide long non-coding RNA is filed under the name Dromaius novaehollandiae (emu). RNAcentral describes it as "lncRNA (ENSDNVG00000010371.1)". Lineage: Eukaryota; Metazoa; Chordata; Aves; Casuariiformes; Dromaiidae. The record is from RNAcentral.
ACGGUGUCACCGUGUCACCGUCCCCACCCUGACCCGCCGCCUGUCCCCUACAGCCGAGGACGAGGAGGAGACCAUCGCCGCCCAGGAGCGCCUGGAGGGCGACGUGGACCACAAGAAGGAGCUGGACGGAGGAGCUGCUGCGUCGCUACGCCGGCGCCUUGGGCGACUCCGCCAGCUCCGGGGCCCCCUCCGAGCCCGGCUCCGCCCCCGGCUCCGCCCCCGCCUCCGGCUCCGCCUCCCCCGGCUCUGGCUCCGCCUCCCCCGAGGACGCCAGCAGCACCCGCUCCGACUCGCCGGCGGCCGAGAGCGAGGAGGAGGAGGAGGAGGAGGAGGAGGACGAAGAGGACGACGAAGAAGAUGACGAAGAGGAGGAGGAGGAGGAGGAGGAAGAGGAAGACGAGGAGGCCGAGGAGAGCGAGGGGGAGGCGGCGGCCCCCCCCCACGGGUGCCGGGGCCACCCUGAGGGC